UGGGGAAUAUUGGACAAUGGGCGAAAGCCUGAUCCAGCAAUGCCGCGUGAGUGAUGAAGGCCUUAGGGUUGUAAAGCUCUUUUACCCGGGAAGAUAAUGACUGUACCGGGAGAAUAAGCCCCGGCUAACUCCGUGCCAGCAGCCGCGGUAAUACGGAGGGGGCUAGCGUUGUUCGGAAUUACUGGGCGUAAAGCGUACGUAGGCGGCUUUGUAAGUUAGAGGUGAAAGCCCGGGGCUCAACCCCGGAAUUGCCUUUAAGACUGCAUCGCUUGAACGUCGGAGAGGUGAGUGGAAUUCCGAGUGUAGAGGUGAAAUUCGUAGAUAUUCGGAAGAACACCAGUGGCGAAGGCGGCUCACUGGACGACUGUUGACGCUGAGGUACGAAAGCGUGGGGAGCAAACAGGAUUAGAUACCCCCGUAGUCC
RNAcentral lists this ribosomal RNA (424 nucleotides) under uncultured bacterium. Its description in RNAcentral is "bacterial SSU rRNA". It matches the Rfam family "Bacterial small subunit ribosomal RNA", at positions 355 to 796 of the family's 1533-position model. The record is from RNAcentral.